Molecule: ribosomal RNA, 497 nt
Filed under: uncultured bacterium
Lineage: Bacteria
Description: partial 16S ribosomal RNA
Rfam family: Bacterial small subunit ribosomal RNA
Source: RNAcentral
GAUGAACGCUGGCGGCGUGCCUAAUACAUGCAAGUCGAGCGAACAGACGAGGAGCUUGCUCCUCUGACGUUAGCGGCGGACGGGUGAGUAACACGUGGAUAACCUACCUAUAAGACUGGGAUAACUUCGGGAAACCGGAGCUAAUACCGGAUAAUAUAUUGAACCGCAUGGUUCAAUAGUGAAAGACGGUUUUGCUGUCACUUAUAGAUGGAUCCGCGCCGCAUUAGCUAGUUGGUAAGGUAACGGCUUACCAAGGCAACGAUGCGUAGCCGACCUGAGAGGGUGAUCGGCCACACUGGAACUGAGACACGGUCCAGACUCCUACGGGAGGCAGCAGUAGGGAGUCUUCCGCAAUGGGCGAAAGCCUGACGGAGCAACGCCGCGUGAGUGAUGAAGGUCUUCGGAUCGUAAAACUCUGUUAUUAGAGAAGAACAAAUGUGUAAGUAACUAUGCACGUCUUGACGGUACCUAAUCAGAAAGCCACGGCUAACUACGUG